This 67-nucleotide transfer RNA is filed under the name Chionoecetes opilio (snow crab). Lineage: Eukaryota; Metazoa; Arthropoda; Malacostraca; Decapoda; Majidae. RNAcentral also lists the same sequence under 1 other name. The record is from Rfam by way of RNAcentral.
AUUUUUAUAGUGUAAAAUAACACAUUACAUUUUCACUGUAAAGCUGAAUUUAUUAAUUCUAAAAACG